GGACUGCAAAGCUUUUCAUCGGCCAUUCUGUCGAUGGUGUGCACCGGAUGAAGCCAAGGGAUAGGCUCCAGCUUCCCUUUGACCCUGCUCAGCAGACUUUAGAAAAUGGACGGAUGAACGAAUGGAAGCCUCCAAACUUUGAGUUUGUACCACUAAUGAAGCUCCUGAC
Molecule: long non-coding RNA, 169 nt
Organism: Polypterus senegalus (gray bichir)
Lineage: Eukaryota; Metazoa; Chordata; Cladistia; Polypteriformes; Polypteridae
Exons: 3
Source: RefSeq, a predicted model, not a curated record